Molecule: ribosomal RNA, 600 nt
Filed under: uncultured bacterium
Lineage: Bacteria
Description: bacterial SSU rRNA
Rfam family: Bacterial small subunit ribosomal RNA (bases 1-517)
Source: RNAcentral
CCUACGGGAGGCAGCAGUGGGGAAUAUUGGACAAUGGGCGAAAGCCUGAUCCAGCAAUGCCGCGUGAGUGAUGAAGGCCUUAGGGUUGUAAAGCUCUUUUACCAGGGAUGAUAAUGACAGUACCUGGAGAAUAAGCUCCGGCUAACUCCGUGCCAGCAGCCGCGGUAAUACGGAGGGAGCUAGCGUUGUUCGGAAUUACUGGGCGUAAAGCGUACGUAGGCGGUUAUUCAAGUCAGAGGUGAAAGCCUGGAGCUCAACUCCAGAACUGCCUUUGAAACUAGAUAGCUAGAAUCUUGGAGAGGUGAGUGGAAUUCCGAGUGUAGAGGUGAAAUUCGUAGAUAUUCGGAAGAACACCAGUGGCGAAGGCGACUCACUGGACAAGUAUUGACGCUGAGGUACGAAAGCGUGGGGAGCAAACAGGAUUAGAUACCCUGGUAGUCCACGCCGUAAACGAUGAUAACUAGCUGUUCGGGCUCUACGAGCUUGAGUGGCGCAGCUACGACAUAAGUUAUCCGCCGUCGGGAGGUACGGUCGCGAGAAUAAACUACAAUAGAGUAGUACGCGUGAGACGUCGCCGACGGACGACGACGAGGGAGGAGG